Molecule: long non-coding RNA, 1112 nt
Organism: Myotis lucifugus (little brown bat)
Lineage: Eukaryota; Metazoa; Chordata; Mammalia; Chiroptera; Vespertilionidae
Exons: 5
Source: RefSeq, a predicted model, not a curated record
ACCGCGGCGAGUGCGGCCGUGCUGGGAUGUCCUAUUGUACCCUGGGGUUCCUUUCCGGAUGGGGGUGCAAAAUGGAAGGAGUUCUCAAGGUAAAGCAUGAUAAAGGGACUUGCAAUAAUUAGCGCGUUUGAUUCCAGUACCUCUAAGAACUGGCGAGAGCGACAACGCGAGCCUCCCCCUGAGUUCCCAAUUGGUUUGACCCAGCAAAGAUGGCGGCCGCCGGGUUUCCCGCACUCCGCCCGCUGACGCGGCCCGUCCGUCUGCCAGCCGGCCCGCCUUGCUUGGAAAGAAGCAUGCGCGACCUGCGGAGCUGAGGAGCGGGGCAUUUUGGAAGUUGAAGUCUCCUGCUCGGGCCCCUCGUCUGGGAGGAAGGUUCCGGCGGUACAUUUUUGUCUGCUCCAACUUCGAGUCCGGAACUAGCGAGCAGAGGUUGGACCCGGGAUGGUGUGGCACCGGAGCCGAGGAGGGGGCGAUGCCGGCUUUCUGGACACUGAGACCUCAUCCCGCUUCCCAUAGGAGCCCUGGCUGAGCUGUCCAUCCGGAAUAGUGCGUUCUCGGAUGAACACGGCAGGUAGAGGCACUUGUCCCAGGUCACAGAGCCGGGAAGUGGAAUAAGCUGGCUACAGUUCCUGCGUUCCCAGCAUUCUGCUCCUGGAAAUAAGUUUGGCAGGUGCCUAAAUGCAACCUCACGUGUUGGGACUUACGAACCAUCCAGAAGGAGGCACCCUCCAUUACCAGAGAGAACACAGUCUAACUGAGGGUCCCUUUGGGCGGUGGCUCCUGGAGGGAAAUGUGGCCUGGAUUUCCUGGAACACGUGGAGCUGGAGUCCCAGUGCUGCAAGGAGGGAGCUGCUGGCAGCAGAGUGACACCCUGCCCCCCAACAUAACUGGGUUCUCUGGAGCAAGUGGCCACUUUGAGUUGGAUUUCUGUCACUUACAACCAAAAGAGAACUGGCCAAUUCCAGGCAGAAACACGUGGGAACAUUGGAAAAGGAGAGCAGUUGGGGUGAUGAAGAAUUGGCUGGAAAUCCUUUGUGAUGGGGGUAGGACCUGAGUAGGGUAUUGAAAAAUGAAUAGGAUUUUGAUGCAUGAAGAAGAAACAAUAUUUCCAA